CCCUUAGAUGUUCUGGGCCGCACGCGCGCUACACUGAUGCAUUCAACGAGUCUAAAACCUGCUCUGAUAGGGGUGGGUAAUCUUUUGAAUGUGCAUCGUGAUUGGGAUAGAUGAUUGCAAUUCUUCAUCUUCAACGAGGAAUGCCUAGUAAACGCAAGUCAUCAGCUUGCAUUGAUUACGUCCCUGCCCUUUGUACACACCGCCCGUCGCUCCUACCGAUUGAAUGACUCGGUGAAAAAUUGGGACUGUGAUUGAAAUUGCUUCAUUGCGAAUUUAAUUAUGGAAACUUUCUUUAACCUAGGCAUUUAGAGGAAGGUGAAGUCGUAACA
This 329-nucleotide ribosomal RNA is filed under the name uncultured eukaryote. RNAcentral describes it as "partial 18S ribosomal RNA". It matches the Rfam family "Eukaryotic small subunit ribosomal RNA", at positions 1470 to 1796 of the family's 1831-position model. The record is from RNAcentral.